Molecule: ribosomal RNA, 164 nt
Filed under: Hildaea sp. Costa et al. 903
Lineage: Eukaryota; Viridiplantae; Streptophyta; Magnoliopsida; Poales; Poaceae
Description: 5.8S ribosomal RNA
Rfam family: 5.8S ribosomal RNA
About the family: 5.8S ribosomal RNA (5.8S rRNA) is a component of the large subunit of the eukaryotic ribosome. It is transcribed by RNA polymerase I as part of the 45S precursor that also contains 18S and 28S rRNA. Functionally, it is thought that 5.8S rRNA may be involved in ribosome translocation.
Source: RNAcentral
CACAUGACUCUCGGCAACGGAUAUCUCGGCUCUCGCAUCGAUGAAGAACGUAGCAAAAUGCGAUACCUGGUGUGAAUUGCAGAAUCCCGCGAACCAUCGAGUUUUUGAACGCAAGUUGCGCCCAAGGCCUUCUGGCUAAGGGCACGCCUGCCUGGGCGUCACGC